CGCGUGAGAAUCUGGCUUCGGGUUCGGGACAACAGUGGGAAACUGCUGCUAAUACCGGAUGUGCCGAAAGGUAAAGAUUAAUUGCCCGAAGAUGAGCUCGCGUCCGAUUAGCUAGUUGGUGUGGUAAGAGCGCACCAAGGCGUCGAUCGGUAGCUGGUCUGAGAGGACGAUCAGCCACACUGGGACUGAGACACGGCCCAGACUCCUACGGGAGGCAGCAGUGGGGAAUUUUCCGCAAUGGGCGAAAGCCUGACGGAGCAAUACCGCGUGAGGGAGGAAGGCUCUUGGGUUGUAAACCUC
Molecule: ribosomal RNA, 300 nt
Filed under: uncultured Nostocales cyanobacterium
Lineage: Bacteria; Bacillati; Cyanobacteriota; Cyanophyceae; Nostocales
Description: bacterial SSU rRNA
Rfam family: Bacterial small subunit ribosomal RNA
Source: RNAcentral